UCCCUUGUAGCUUAGUCAGUAAAGAAUCUGCCUGCGGUGCAGGAGACCAGGGUUUGAUCCCUGCGUUGGAA
Molecule: transfer RNA, 71 nt
Filed under: Ovis aries (sheep)
Lineage: Eukaryota; Metazoa; Chordata; Mammalia; Artiodactyla; Bovidae
Rfam family: tRNA
About the family: Transfer RNA (tRNA) molecules are approximately 80 nucleotides in length. Their secondary structure includes four short double-helical elements and three loops (D, anti-codon, and T loops). Further hydrogen bonds mediate the characteristic L-shaped molecular structure. tRNAs have two regions of fundamental functional importance: the anti-codon, which is responsible for specific mRNA codon recognition, and the 3' end, to which the tRNAs corresponding amino acid is attached (by aminoacyl-tRNA synthetases). tRNAs cope with the degeneracy of the genetic code in two manners: having more than one tRNA (with a specific anti-codon) for a particular amino acid; and 'wobble' base-pairing, i.e. permitting non-standard base-pairing at the 3rd anti-codon position.
Source: Rfam by way of RNAcentral